Molecule: ribosomal RNA, 339 nt
Filed under: uncultured Prevotella sp.
Lineage: Bacteria; Pseudomonadati; Bacteroidota; Bacteroidia; Bacteroidales; Prevotellaceae
Description: bacterial SSU rRNA
Rfam family: Bacterial small subunit ribosomal RNA
Source: RNAcentral
AGAGUUUGAUCCUGGCUCAGGAUGAACGCUAGCUACAGGCUUAACACAUGCAAGUCGAGGGGCAGCAUAUCGAAAGCUUGCUUUUGAUGAUGGCGACCGGCGCACGGGUGAGUAACGCGUAUCCAACCUUCCCUAUACUAGAGGAUAGCCCGGCGAAAGUCGGAUUAAUACUCUAUGUUCUUCGUAGAAGACAUCUGAAAUGAAGCAAAGGUUUACCGGUAUAGGAUGGGGAUGCGUCUGAUUAGGUUGUUGGCGGGGUAACGGCCCACCAAGCCCACGAUCAGUAGGGGUUCUGAGAGGAAGGUCCCCCACAUUGGAACUGAGCCAGGAUCAAACUCU